GCCCGUGUGUGCCCAUGCUCUGAGCGCCUGCUACAUCACGUGGAGGGUUCGAUAAGUCACACAUCGCCGCAUACGCACCCUUCCCCGGCAUUUGAGUGCGGGUUGUGUUUUGUUGCUGUGGGUGACCCUGAGGAUCCUGGCCUUUGGGAAUGCCUCCGUUGAAGUGGUAUAACAUGGGAUACCGAUUCGAGUAUGAUUGUAACUCACGGAGCAGGUGACCAAGAUGCUUCCAUCUGAACAGCAGCCGACCCGAGAACAAACACAUCAGGUUUGGAGGAGAAGAUAGGACAUACGCCGCCGUGGGGAAUUCAGCACAGAUGGAAGAGACAACGUACGGCGAGGACUCGCCACAACGCCAUGUGGAACUGGAUGCCAGAUGCGUGACCUCAGCUCGGAGAGCUCCGCGUUUAGAAGGAGGAGCGGCUGGGUGACGGAGGCCCUCCGUGUGCUUGGGAGGCCGCAGGGCUCUGGGCCUGGGGGGCUGGGAGACGGGCCUGGGGCCUGUGCAGAGGGGCAGAGGCCAGCUGUGCUGGGUGUGGCCUGUCACUCAGUGAGGCCCGGCAGUGCUGUCCGUGCCUCUUGUGUUCUGGGUGAGAGUUCUGACCCUCGUCUGCCUGGCUGGCUGGCUGGCUUUGGGCUGAGGCUUGGGGCCUGGGGUCUCGGGCACCGAGUUGAACGGGACGAUGGCAUCUGGGCCUUUCCUAGUUUUCAGAGGCACGCGUGGUUGGGGCUUUUCUUUGUUUUCACCUCUAUGUCCAUCCCAUCCAAUGGAGCGACUGUUGACAAUAAACUUCGACGCUAUGAUUUUGA
Eptesicus fuscus (big brown bat) is the source of this 810-nucleotide long non-coding RNA. RefSeq lists it as uncharacterized. The record is from RefSeq and is a predicted model, not a curated record. Lineage: Eukaryota; Metazoa; Chordata; Mammalia; Chiroptera; Vespertilionidae. The transcript is spliced from 2 exons.